CCCUUAGAUGUUCUGGGCCGCACGCGCGCUACACUGACGAAUGCAACGAGCUUAUAACCUUGGCCGAAAGGUCUGGGUAAUCUCCAAAUUUCGUCGUGAUGGGGAUAGAUUAUUGCAAUUAUUAAUCUUCAACGAGGAAUGCCUAGUAAGCGCAAGUCAUCAGCUUGCGUUGAUUACGUCCCUGCCCUUUGUACACGCCGCCCGUCGCUCCUACCGAUUGAAUGGUCCGGUGAAGCGUUCGGACCGUGGCCUUUGGACGGUUCGCCGUCUGUUGGCUGCGGGAAGUUCGUUAAACCUUAUCAUUUAGAGGAAGGAGAANUCGUANCA
Molecule: ribosomal RNA, 327 nt
Filed under: uncultured eukaryote
Lineage: Eukaryota
Description: partial 18S ribosomal RNA
Rfam family: Eukaryotic small subunit ribosomal RNA
Source: RNAcentral